GAUGAACGCUGGCGGCGUGCCUAAUACAUGCAAGUCGAGCGAACAGACGAGGAGCUUGCUCCUCUGACGUUAGCGGCGGACGGGUGAGUAACACGUGGAUAACCUACCUAUAAGACUGGGAUAACUUCGGGAAACCGGAGCUAAUACCGGAUAAUAUAUUGAACCGCAUGGUUCAAUAGUGAAAGACGGUUUUGCUGUCACUUAUAGAUGGAUCCGCGCCGCAUUAGCUAGUUGGUAAGGUAACGGCUUACCAAGGCAACGAUGCGUAGCCGACCUGAGAGGGUGAUGGGCAACACAGGAACUGAGACACGGUCCAGACCCCAGCGGGGGGCGACGGAGGGAAAUCUCCCGCAAGGGGGGAAGCCCUGACGGAGCACCGCCGCGGGAGGAAGAAAGUUUUUCGAAUCUAAAAACUUUUUUAUGAGGGAAAAAAAAAUGUGAAAGUAACUAUGCGCGUCUUGGGGUUACUUAAUAAGAAGCCCACGACAAGCUACGUG
This 497-nucleotide ribosomal RNA is filed under the name uncultured bacterium. RNAcentral's name for it is "partial 16S ribosomal RNA". It matches the Rfam family "Bacterial small subunit ribosomal RNA", at positions 28 to 507 of the family's 1533-position model. The record is from RNAcentral.